RNAcentral lists this ribosomal RNA (514 nucleotides) under uncultured bacterium. RNAcentral's name for it is "bacterial SSU rRNA". It matches the Rfam family "Bacterial small subunit ribosomal RNA", at positions 9 to 523 of the family's 1533-position model. The record is from RNAcentral.
GAGUUUGAUCCUGGCUCAGGAUGAACGCUGGCGGCGUGCCUAACACAUGCAAGUCGAGCGAAGCACUUUACUUUGAUUCUUCGGAUGAAGAGUUUUGUGACUGAGCGGCGGACGGGUGAGUAACGCGUGGGUAACCUGCCUCAUACAGGGGGAUAACAGUUAGAAAUGACUGCUAAUACCGCAUAAGACCACAGCACCGCAUGGUGCAGGGGUAAAAACUCCGGUGGUAUGAGAUGGACCCGCGUCUGAUUAGCUAGUUGGUAAGGUAACGGCUUACCAAGGCAACGAUCAGUAGCCGACCUGAGAGGGUGACCGGCCACAUUGGGACUGAGACACGGCCCAAACUCCUACGGGAGGCAGCAGUGGGGAAUAUUGCACAAUGGGGGAAACCCUGAUGCAGCGACGCCGCGUGAGCGAAGAAGUAUUUCGGUAUGUAAAGCUCUAUCAGCAGGGAAGAAACUGACGGUACCUGACUAAGAAGCACCGGCUAAAUACGUGCCAGCAGCCGCGGUAA